UGAUUUCCACUGUCUCUCUCUUCGAAAGAAUAAAAACGAAUAAAAGGGGGAACCUAGCUCAUUAAAAAAAGGAGAAGGAAAUUAAAAAUAAGGAUGUUACCUCUCUUUUCUCUCUAGCCCACUCACACAUACUCUCCAUCUCAAAACGCUGCUAAAAAACAAAGAAAAAGAAAAGAUAAUAAAAACAAAUCCUAACUCCACUCUCACAACUCAACUGCCGUUCCCUUUCCUUUUUCCUCCCACCGCAAACCCACCGUCCUCACGAUCGCUCCGCUCCAACGGCGAGCUCCCUCAAACAAACCGUCUCCGACGAUUUCCACCGUCGAUAACGUCCAAACCCUCCAUCCUCCGCCGCGUGAACCACUCACCUUCCUCACAAACGCAACCGUGAACGACCGCUCACCGUGGCCACCACUCUUCAACCGUUGCUAACAAGAUCUUUCUUCCUCCAACGAUGACGUUUUAGGGAUACUGUCAUAACCACAUCACCAAGAACAAAUCAACAACACAUUGUAAAAAAAUUUCAACUCAGUUUCACUCACGAUUCUGAAGGUAACAACACAUUGAGAACAACCG
This 576-nucleotide long non-coding RNA is filed under the name Lathyrus oleraceus (garden pea). RNAcentral describes it as "Pisum sativum (pea) long non-coding RNA (PSAT_LNC011690)". The record is from RNAcentral. Lineage: Eukaryota; Viridiplantae; Streptophyta; Magnoliopsida; Fabales; Fabaceae.